This 608-nucleotide long non-coding RNA is filed under the name Homo sapiens (human). RNAcentral describes it as "HSALNT0347273". The record is from RNAcentral. Lineage: Eukaryota; Metazoa; Chordata; Mammalia; Primates; Hominidae.
UUCGGGAGGCUGAAGUGGGAGGAUUGCUUGAGCUAGGGAGGUAGAGGUUGGAGUGAGCCAAAAUCACACCGCUGCACUCCAGCCUGGGUGACAAAGUGAAACCCUGUCUCAAAAAAAAAAAAAGGGAAAGAAAGAAAAAAGAAAGAGGAACAAAUGUGUGCCCUGUUCGUAGCCCCAGGAUCUUCUCCACCCCAGGACUUUUAUCCCCACCUCUAAACCCUGAGAAGAAUCUUCAUUUUCCUAGACAAAGAAGCAUUCUAUUUGUCUAGGUCUGGAAAGAUCUUUAGACUAGAGGUUUAAAAAAAAGAUGAUGGAUACUUUAAAGGGCAGCGUAAACAAUAAAAACUAUUAAAGGUCAAUUGAUCUGAGCUGUCUGGCAGGGAGAGCUUACAGACUCUCCACAAAGGGUGAGCUGGGCUGCAGUCCACAAAAUGCCGGGUCAGAGCAAGCUGGAGAUGACUGACAGGGAGAACUCUCCUGGGCUCAGAGUGUCUCAACGCCAGGAACCUCAUUAGGACAUCUUCCCUCCACACUGUGACUUGACACUUCUUUAUCAAAUGAUUCUUCAGGGAGUUUCACUUUUGUCACCCAGGCUGGGGAGCAAUGGC